This 307-nucleotide unclassified non-coding RNA is filed under the name plant metagenome. Its description in RNAcentral is "partial contains 5.8S ribosomal RNA, internal transcribed spacer 2, and large subunit ribosomal RNA". The stretch from base 1 to 105 matches the Rfam family "5.8S ribosomal RNA", at positions 50 to 154 of the family's 154-position model. The record is from RNAcentral.
GAAAUGCGAUAAGUAAUGUGAAUUGCAGAAUUCAGUGAAUCAUCGAAUCUUUGAACGCACAUUGCGCCCGCCAGCACUCUGGCGGGCAUGCCUGUUCGAGCGUCAUUUCAACCCUCAGAACCCCUUGCGGGAUCUGGCGUUGGGGAUUGGCAUCCAGCCAGCCCCGAAAUCUAGUGGCGGUCCCUCCGCGACCUCCCCUGUGCAGUAGCGAUACCUCGCAGCGGGACAGCGGUCUGACCACGCCGUAAAACCCCCAACUUCUCAAGGUUGACCUCGAAUCAGGUAGGAAUACCCGCUGAACAUACGC